This 1333-nucleotide long non-coding RNA is filed under the name Marmota monax (woodchuck). Lineage: Eukaryota; Metazoa; Chordata; Mammalia; Rodentia; Sciuridae. The record is from RNAcentral.
GCCUUGGCUCUGCAUCCCCUGUGUCCCGGUUAUUUCAUGACCCUUACCCAGGGACCCGAACGCUCUAGACGUUCACAAUUGGCGCCUGAACAGGGACCCUGUUGGAUUGUCAGGAAGGGUAAGUUAUUUUUCUUUAUAUUACAGGGUGAUAGGACAAUCUUCAUCUUCUCCUUUUUUACGUAUUCUUAGGCAUUCACUUGCUGUCUAUGGUAUUAACAUUUCCCAUUCUGAUAUAGAGAUGUGUCUUAAGGUGGUCAGGGAAUGGAAUCCCUGGUUCCUGGAGGAAGGAUCUAUGGAUGUAGAUAAUUGGAAACGGGUCCGUCACAAUGUUGAAAAGGCCAUGAGGCAAGGUGAAAAAAUUCCAAUUCGGUUUUGGUCUAUCUGGUCUGUUUUAUAUACAAUGUUUAAAGCUAUGGAGGAAGAAAGAUUAAUUGGCAACUUACAAAAGGAGUUAGCUCCCUCUAUUUUAGAUCUCCCUCUGGAUGUUAGUGAAAAAGAAUAGGUAGUAAAAGAUACACAACAAUUGACUCAUAAUUCUUCACAAAAUUCUGCUGAUUUAAUUGGUACUGCUAUGGAAAAGAAAACGAAAGUAAAAACGAUGAUUGAUGAUCGCUCCAUUUCGGAGCAAUUCAAACUUGUUAUGGAGGAGGUUUUAGGACGUCUUAAUAAAUUAGAAGCUAAAAUGGACCCUAAGCCUUUAUCGGGAACCAGGCCCUCUGCCCCUCCGGCCACCAAUCCUUUUUUGGCAGCUUCUUUAAAGGCUGUCCAGGAAAUGGACUCAGAACCUUCUGACGAUGAGGACGAAACUCCUUUCUUUGCUUUUCCUAUAAUCAGGCCUGAUCCAGUUAAUGGAAUGGCACAUCCACCUCGGUAUGAGGGGAUUGAUAUUGAUCAUAUUAGCAGAUUAAAAAAGGCUGUUACUGCCUCAAUCCCAUUCUGUAAAAGCAUUGCUUAAUGCUUUUUGCUACUCAUUAUAAUAAUUUUGCUCCAGUACAUAGGAAUUAUAUAAAGUGUUAAAGCAACUGUAUAUAUUUAAAUUGUGUGUGUUAAAGAUUAAGAAAAAAGAUAAUGAUUAUUUUUCCUAAAUGAAAUAACAUUCUUCUCUCCACCAAAUUUUUUUCUGAAGUUAAUGGCAUUUGGAUCAAAGUUUUAUUAAAAGCUACAUUUUAUAACACUGGCACAAAAAAAGUAGUUUUAAACUUGUUUGCACAGUUGUUUUUUUCCAUUGGAAAUGGAAUUCAUUGCCUUAAGUCUUUUUAAAUAGUGUAUUAUCGUUGGGGCUAGCUCUAUGCUUGAAAACCAGUUUAUUUAUAACCUGUUGUAAGUGCUAUAU